Molecule: ribosomal RNA, 254 nt
Filed under: uncultured bacterium
Lineage: Bacteria
Description: partial 16S ribosomal RNA
Rfam family: Bacterial small subunit ribosomal RNA
Source: RNAcentral
UACGAAGGGUGCAAGCGUUGUUCGGAAUCAUUGGGCGUAAAGCGCGCGCAGGCGGAUCAGCAAGUCAGAUGUGAAAUCUCGGAGCUCAACUCCGAAACUGCGUCUGAAACUGCUAGUCUAGAAUGUCGGAGGGGGCAGGGGAAUUUCACGUGUAGGGGUAAAAUCCGUAGAGAUGUGAAGGAACACCGGAGGCGAAGGCGCCUGCCUGGACGACUAUUGACGCUGAGGCGCGAAAGCGUGGGGAGCGAAACAGG